GAUGAACGCUGGCGGCGUGCCUAAUACAUGCAAGUCGAGCGAACAGACGAGGAGCUUGCUCCUCUGACGUUAGCGGCGGACGGGUGAGUAACACGUGGAUAACCUACCUAUAAGACUGGGAUAACUUCGGGAAACCGGAGCUAAUACCGGAUAAUAUAUUGAACCGCAUGGUUCAAUAGUGAAAGACGGUUUUGCUGUCACUUAUAGAUGGAUCCGCGCCGCAUUAGCUAGUUGGUAAGGUAACGGCUUACCAAGGCAACGAUGCGUAGCCGACCUGAGAGGGUGAUCGGCCACACUGGUACUGAGACACGGUCCAGACUCCUACGGGAGGCAGCAGUAGGGAAUCUUCCGCAAUGGGCGAAAGCCUGACGGAGCAACGCCGCGUGAGUGAUGAAGGUCUUCGGAUCGUAAAACUCUGUUAUUAGGGAAGAACAAAUGUGGAAGUAACUAUGCACGUCUUGACGGUACCUAAUCAGAAAGCCACGGCUAACUACGUG
This 497-nucleotide ribosomal RNA is filed under the name uncultured bacterium. RNAcentral's name for it is "partial 16S ribosomal RNA". It matches the Rfam family "Bacterial small subunit ribosomal RNA", at positions 28 to 507 of the family's 1533-position model. The record is from RNAcentral.